UUUAGUAAUUCGCUUUCCUGAUAUGUGGGGUCCGGAGGGUGAUACACAGAGGCGACAUAGUAUUUGCUAUUUGCUGUCUCAAUUUCACACCAGAUGCAUUCCAAAUUAUUUUGAAAGUUUAGAGAUUUACAUUUCCAAUCUUCCCGACAAAUUAUAGCAACACCUCCUACGGGAGUAAUGCUCAUGUCUUCAUGGCGAAUUCGGUAUGCGUAUCGGCUUAGUAAUGCACGCGACAAUGCUCUUUAAAUUAAACAAGCGUUCAGUAUUAUAGCCGUGUUUACACUACGAGUCUAAGCCUGGCCUAUAGGCCUAGCUUUGGACUAGAUUUUUGUAGUGUAAACGCACUUUGGGCCUGGCCUAGGUUAGGAAAUGUGUAACACCUGUUCUGAUGGCCCAGAUGUCCUGACCUAAGCCAGGUCGAAGUGCGUUUACACUACAAAAAUCUAGUCCAAAGCUAGGCCUAGGUUCGUAGUGUAAACACGACUAUGUAACACGCAUUUCGCGCAGUCAAAAAACAAUGUCUCUAUAGCUUGUAAUCAUGUUUUGACAUAUGUAUUGUUGUUAAUAUCACUACAAUUUGUAUUACUAAACGCCUAUAAUCCCACGUUUAAGAACAUUAUAAUUACACAAAAAUAUAAAAUUCAAAAUAUAAAAUAUAAAAUACAAAAUAUAAAAUACAAAAUAUAAAACACAAAAAUACAAAAUAUAAAACACAAAAAUACAAAAUAUAAAACACAAAAAUACAAAAUAUAAAACACAAAAAUACAAAAUAUAAAACACAAAAAUACAAAAUAUAUAAAACAUAAAAAUACAAAAUAUAAAACACAAAAAUACAAAAUAUAAAACACAAAAAUACAAAAUAUAAAACACAAAAAUACAAAAUAUAAAACACAAAAAUACAAAAUAUAAAACACAAAAAUACAAAAUAUAAAACACAAAAUGUAAAAUACAAAAGUGGUUUUAUGC
Molecule: non-coding RNA, 966 nt
Organism: Paramuricea clavata
Lineage: Eukaryota; Metazoa; Cnidaria; Anthozoa; Malacalcyonacea; Plexauridae
Source: the annotation of a GenBank genome assembly